Molecule: small nucleolar RNA, 226 nt
Filed under: Octodon degus (degu)
Lineage: Eukaryota; Metazoa; Chordata; Mammalia; Rodentia; Octodontidae
Description: Small nucleolar RNA SNORA73 family (ENSODEG00000022565.1)
Source: RNAcentral
GCAGUGUGGGAUCUGCACGAAGUGGUUCACAGCAGAUACCUUUGGCAUAGAUACCUCGUGAGUACGUUUAUAAGAACUGGAUUCUAAAAUUAAUCAGAGCUGCCCUAUGAUGUACAGUCCCUUACCACAGUGCUGGAGAAGCUGAGCGUCAUGUCUGCACCUGCAUAUUUCUACUUCUGAGUCCUUCAGGCAAUAACUGAGGAGAUGAACCAUGCAGAAAAUACUC